UGUUUGCUUUUGAGCCGUAGC
Caenorhabditis elegans is the source of this 21-nucleotide non-coding RNA. The record is from Ensembl. NCBI's taxonomy places the organism in Eukaryota, Metazoa, Nematoda, Chromadorea, Rhabditida, Rhabditidae.